This 77-nucleotide transfer RNA is filed under the name Gammaproteobacteria bacterium. Its description in RNAcentral is "tRNA-Asp". It matches the Rfam family "tRNA". Rfam says of the family: Transfer RNA (tRNA) molecules are approximately 80 nucleotides in length. Lineage: Bacteria; Pseudomonadati; Pseudomonadota; Gammaproteobacteria. RNAcentral also lists the same sequence under 2 other names. The record is from RNAcentral.
GGAGUGGUAGUUCAGAUGGUUAGAAUACCGGGCUGUCAAUCCGGUGGUCGCGGGUUCGAGUCCCGUCCACUCCGCCA